GACUCGAUAGCUCAAUGGGUAUAGAGCGGCGGUCUAGAUACCCCGAAGAUGCGAGUUCAAAUCCCGCUCGAGCCA
Paramuricea clavata is the source of this 75-nucleotide non-coding RNA. NCBI's taxonomy places the organism in Eukaryota, Metazoa, Cnidaria, Anthozoa, Malacalcyonacea, Plexauridae. The record is from the annotation of a GenBank genome assembly.